AUGCCCGAGGCCGGCCGCUACACCCACAAGAAGGACGACGGCAUCUGCAACAGCGUCUGCGGCGAGCCCACCUCAAAGGCAGUUAUGGCCAUGUCAAGGCUCAAGUGUGCGCUUCGGGGGUUUGAUUUCAGGGUAAUUCUGGCUCUCUUGAUUGGUGUGCCACUGGUAAUGUUAAUGAUAUAUGCGCAUGGUCAGAAGGUCACAUACUUCCUCCGGCCAAUCUGGGAAUCUCCUCCGGAGCCCUUCAAGAUAAUCCCUCACUACUACAAUGAGAAUGUCACUAUGGAGAACCUCUGCAAGCUACAUGGGUGGAAAGUCAGGGAGACCCCACGCCGUGUUUUCGAUGCUGUCCUCUUCAGCAAUGAGCUUGAUAUCCUUGAACUCCGUUGGAAUGAACUGAGCCCCUAUGUGUCAGAGUUCAUCCUGCUCGAGUCCAACUCAACUUUCACUGGUGUGAUAAAGCCCCUCUACUUCAAGGAAAACCGCGAUCGAUUUAGAUUUGCUGAAUCGCGGCUGACCUAUGGCACAUAUGGGGGAAGAUUCAUGAAGGGGGAAAAUCCAUUUGUUGAGGAGUCAUUUCAGAGGGUUGCCCUGGACCAGCUCAUUAGGAUUGCAAGAAUUGAAGAUGACGACAUAUUGAUCAUGUCAGAUGUUGAUGAAAUCCCAAGUGGCCACACCAUCAAUCUCUUGAGAUGGUGUGACGACACUCCUAAGAUACUCCAUCUUCAGCUCAGGAAUUAUCUGUACUCAUUUGAGUUUUUUCUGGAUGACAAGAGUUGGAGGGCGUCAAUUCACAGGUAUGUGUCUGGGAAGACAAGAUAUGCUCAUUUUCGGCAGACAGAUGAGCUUCUUGCCGAUUCAGGGUGGCACUGCAGUUUUUGUUUCCGGCACAUCAGUGAUUUUGCCUUCAAGAUGAAAGCUUAUAGCCAUGUGGAUAGGAUUAGAUUCAAGUACUUCCUGAACCCUGAGAGGAUUCAAGAUGUCAUUUGCAGAGGGGCGGAUCUUUUUGACAUGCUUCCUGAAGAGUAUACGUUCCAAGAAAUCAUUGCGAAGUUGGGCAACAUUCCAAGCACAUUCUCUGCUGUUCAUCUUCCUAGUUAUCUGCUUCAGAAUGUUGACCGGUACCGGUAUCUUCUCCCCGGGAACUGCAGGAGAGAAAGUGGCUAG
This 1167-nucleotide ribosomal RNA is filed under the name Triticum aestivum (bread wheat). RNAcentral's name for it is "partial small subunit ribosomal RNA". The record is from RNAcentral. Lineage: Eukaryota; Viridiplantae; Streptophyta; Magnoliopsida; Poales; Poaceae.